UGCUAGUCAUGCAGCCCUAAAGUUCAAAAGGACAGUUUUUGACAUACUACAACUUGAUUGCUGGAUGUUUACCAUAUAUAAAUGCUUGAUUAUUAUUUUUUCAGUAAUCACUUCUUUUCCCCACAAAAUUUCAAGCAUGAAUGCUCCUGCAUCCUUGUUCUCUGUGUUGGCCUAUUGUACCAGGAGAUCCAGUUAUCAUUGAGGUUCAAUGUCAGAUGCUGCUUGCUUCCUCUGUUUAAUUAAAUUUCUCAGCAUAUUUUUGUAAUGGCAAAGCAAUUCUUAAUCUCUGCUGUACCAGGAGAUCCAGUUAUCAUUGAGGUUCAAUGUCAGAUGCUGCUUGCUUCCUCUGUUUAAUUAAAUUUCUCAGCAUAUUUUUGUAAUGGCAAAGCAAUUCUUAAUCUCUGCCAUAGUUUUUUUCUUCUUGUUGCAAUAGUUGGUUAUAUAAAUUGUAUUGUGUGAUGUUAGUAACACUCUUUGAUUUCACAG
This 486-nucleotide long non-coding RNA is filed under the name Oryza sativa (Asian cultivated rice). RNAcentral describes it as "long non-coding RNA (OSAT_LNC000894)". The record is from RNAcentral. Lineage: Eukaryota; Viridiplantae; Streptophyta; Magnoliopsida; Poales; Poaceae.